RNAcentral lists this transfer RNA (71 nucleotides) under Camelus ferus (Wild Bactrian camel). It matches the Rfam family "tRNA". From Rfam's summary of the family: Transfer RNA (tRNA) molecules are approximately 80 nucleotides in length. Their secondary structure includes four short double-helical elements and three loops (D, anti-codon, and T loops). The record is from Rfam by way of RNAcentral. Lineage: Eukaryota; Metazoa; Chordata; Mammalia; Artiodactyla; Camelidae.
AGGGUGAUAGCUCAGUGGUAGCGCACAUGAUUAGUCUUCAUGAAGUCCUGGGUUCAAUCCCCAGUACCUUC